UGCCAGCAGCCGCGGUAAUACGGAGGGUGCAAGCGUUAAUCGGAUUUAUUGGGCGUAAAGAACGCGUAGGCGGAGAUGUAAGUCAGACGUGAAAUCCCGGGGCUCAACCCCGGAAUUGCAUUUGAAACUGCAUCCCUAGAGGGUAGGCGGAGAAAACGGAAUUCCAUGUGUAGCGGUGAAAUGCGUAGAUACAUGGAGGAACACCCGUGGCGAAAGCGGUUUUCUAGCUUACUCCUGACGCUGAGGCGUGAAAGCAAGGGGAGCAAACAGGAUUAGAUA
RNAcentral lists this ribosomal RNA (279 nucleotides) under uncultured bacterium. Its description in RNAcentral is "partial 16S ribosomal RNA". It matches the Rfam family "Bacterial small subunit ribosomal RNA", at positions 506 to 784 of the family's 1533-position model. The record is from RNAcentral.